This 1511-nucleotide ribosomal RNA is filed under the name Bacillus sp. R-26373. RNAcentral's name for it is "bacterial SSU rRNA". It matches the Rfam family "Bacterial small subunit ribosomal RNA". Lineage: Bacteria; Bacillati; Bacillota; Bacilli; Caryophanales; Bacillaceae. The record is from RNAcentral.
GACGAACGCUGGCGGCGUGCCUAAUACAUGCAAGUCGAGCGAAUCGAUGGGAGCUUGCUCCCUGAGAUUAGCGGCGGACGGGUGAGUAACACGUGGGCAACCUGCCUAUAAGACUGGGAUAACUUCGGGAAACCGGAGCUAAUACCGGAUAUGUUCUUUUCUCGCAUGAGAGAAGAUGGAAAGACGGUUUCGGCUGUCACUUAUAGAUGGGCCCGCGGCGCAUUAGCUAGUUGGUGAGGUAAUGGCUCACCAAGGCGACGAUGCGUAGCCGACCUGAGAGGGUGAUCGGCCACACUGGGANUGAGASACKGCCCAGACUCCUACGGGAGGCAGCAGUAGGGAAUCUUCCGCAAUGGACGAAAGUCUGACGGAGCAACGCCGCGUGAACGAAGAAGGCCUUCGGGUCGUAAAGUUCUGUUGUUAGGGAAGAACAAGUACCAGAGUAACUGCUGGUACCUUGACGGUACCUAACCAGAAAGCCACGGCUAACUACGUGCCAGCAGCCGCGGUAAUACGUAGGUGGCAAGCGUUGUCCGGAAUUAUUGGGCGUAAAGCGCGCGCAGGUGGUUCUUUAAGUCUGAUGUGAAAGCCCACGGCUCAACCGUGGAGGGUCAUUGGAAACUGGGGAACUUGAGUGCAGAAGAGGAAAGUGGAAUUCCAAGUGUAGCGGUGAAAUGCGUAGAGAUUUGGAGGAACACCAGUGGCGAAGGCGACUUUCUGGUCUGUAACUGACACUGAGGCGCGAAAGCGUGGGGAGCAAACAGGAUUAGAUACCCUGGUAGUCCACGCCGUAAACGAUGAGUGCUAAGUGUUAGAGGGUUUCCGCCCUUUAGUGCUGCAGCUAACGCAUUAAGCACUCCGCCUGGGGAGUACGACCGCAAGGUUGAAACUCAAAGGAAUUGACGGGGGCCCGCACAAGCGGUGGAGCAUGUGGUUUAAUUCGAAGCAACGCGAAGAACCUUACCAGGUCUUGACAUCCUCUGACACUCCUAGAGAUAGGACGUUCCCCUUCGGGGGACAGAGUGACAGGUGGUGCAUGGUUGUCGUCAGCUCGUGUCGUGAGAUGUUGGGUUAAGUCCCGCAACGAGCGCAACCCUUGAUCUUAGUUGCCAGCAUUCAGUUGGGCACUCUAAGGUGACUGCCGGUGACAAACCGGAGGAAGGUGGGGAUGACGUCAAAUCAUCAUGCCCCUUAUGACCUGGGCUACACACGUGCUACAAUGGAUGGUACAAAGGGCUGCAAACCUGCGAAGGUAAGCGAAUCCCAUAAAGCCAUUCUCAGUUCGGAUUGUAGGCUGCAACUCGCCUGCAUGAAGCCGGAAUCGCUAGUAAUCGCGGAUCAGCAUGCCGCGGUGAAUACGUUCCCGGGCCUUGUACACACCGCCCGUCACACCACGAGAGUUUGUAACACCCGAAGUCGGUGAGGUAACCUUUAUGGAGCCAGCCGCCUAAGGUGGGACAGAUGAUUGGGGUGAAGUCGUAACAAGGUAGCCGUAUCGGAAGGUGCGGCUG